CGGUAUCGCGUGUGGUAAGUUUCACCCACAUGGUAAGUUUCGCAACAAGCAGCAGCGUCGUUUGAAGCAACAAAUUUUAUGAUGUUUUCUCAAAAUACAAUUGGUAAUUUCUACUUUAUUUCUUCCAACGAGGAAAUGUUAAAAACGAUUCGUGAGGAAAUCAUUAAGAAUGGGUCAUCAAAAAACGUGCCCCGCCCCCCGGAUUCCGCGGAUGCAUCGGCUCCAGAAGUGGCCAAAAAGAGGCAAGAAGUGGCCAAAAAGAGGCAAGAAGUGGCCAAAAAGAGGCCAGAAGUUUCGCCGGAGAGGAUCGCGGUAACUCCUCGGAGGUCGCCCAGUCCCCUUGGAGAAUUAAGUAAUGUAAUGAGUCCUUUGCCGAAUCUUCCGAGCCCCCCCCGUGCAGUGGAGGAUAAUUUAAUUAAUUUAUCGGCCACGCCUCCUCGCAAAAGAAGGAGGUUCCACCCCACAAUUUUUUGGAAGCCGGAAUCGCACAAGGACGGCAGUGGUCGAGAGUGGACCACAUUAAAAUAUCAAUGCGAAAUUUGUUUUAAAAUUUGCCAAAAACCGAAGGCAUAUGAGAACCACAUAAUGUUGUGCAAAAAUGAUUGCAAAACAGUGGCUUGCAAGUGGUGCCCCUAUGUCCAAAAGUCCUCCAAUUUGGGAAAUCACUGGAAGAGGUGCAUAGGGGGGAAAAAAUUGUAUAUCCCCAUUGGGGAACAAUUGAAGCAGCGGAAAAUGUGGUCCGAAAUGAAGGACACGUCGGGAUCGAAAUCGCAAGUGGAAAGUGUGGCCUCCACCCAAGAUUUUGGAUUUUCGGAAACGAUGCAGUUCGUCUUCAAUUCCAUUGAUGAAGACUUUUGAAAAAAUAUUGCCCACGGAGAAGUUACUUCCUUUCGUGUUUUAUUUUACCUCUCGCUGAAAACCCGAUCCAGCUUUCACAUAAUCCUGCCCAGCUUCGACAUUAAUCUUGUCCAGCUUCGACAUUAAUCUUGUCCAAGCUUCGACAUAAUCUUGUCCAGCUUACAACAACUAUUUUACAGAAUUUCCC
Drosophila ananassae is the source of this 1045-nucleotide RNA transcript. RefSeq lists it as uncharacterized. The transcript is spliced from 4 exons. The record is from RefSeq and is a predicted model, not a curated record. NCBI's taxonomy places the organism in Eukaryota, Metazoa, Arthropoda, Insecta, Diptera, Drosophilidae.